UGAAUACGAGAUGCUACGGCGUCGAAGCAGUCUAUGUCAUACUUCCAAGAAAAGCUCGCACUGUCAUAAACAAAUAAUGCCUGUACCAUAACCGACACAGGUGGGUAGGUAGAGUAUACUAAGGGGCGCGAGAUAACUCUCUCUAAGGAACUCGGCAAAAUGACUCCGUAACUUCGGGAGAAGGAGUGCCUUAUUUAUAAGGUUGCAAUAACAAGAUCCAAGCAACUGUUUACCAAAAACACAGGUCUCCGCUAAGUCGUAAGACGAUGUAUGGGGGCUGACGCCUGCCCAGUGCCAGAAGGUUAAAGAAGUUGGUUAGCAUUCGCGAAGCUGAUAACUGAAGCCCUGGUGAACGGCGGCCGUAACAAUAACGGUCCUAAGGUAGCGAAAUUCCUUGUCGGGUAAGUUCCGACCCGCACGAAAGGCGUAAUGAUUUGGAUACUGUCUCGGAGAGGGGCUCGGUGAAAUAGACUUGUCUGUGAUGAUGCGGACUACCUGCACCAGGACAGAAAGACCCUAUGAAGCUUUACUGUAACUUGAGAUUGAAAUUGGACUUUACUUGCGCAGUAUAGGUGGGAGGCGUUGAUAAUAUUCUUGCGGGAUUAUUUGAGCCAUCAGUGAGAUACCACUCUUGUAAUGUUAGAUUUCUAACUUUGUAUCAUUAUCUGGUCAAAGGACAGUUUCAGGCGGGCAGUUUGACUGGGGCGGUCGCCUCCUAAACGGUAACGGAGGCGCACAAAGGUUUCCUCUGAACGGGUAGAAAUCGUAUCUAGAGUGUAAAGGCAUAAGGAAGCUUGACUGUGAGACCUACAAGUCGAGCAGGGACGAAAGUCGGUCUUAGUGAUCUGACGGUGCUGAGUGGAAAGGCCGUCACUCAACGGAUAAAAGUUACUCUAGGAUAACAGGCUGAUCUCCCCCAAGAGUUCACAUCGACGGGGAGGUUUGGCACCUCGAUGUCGGCUCAUCGCAUCCUGGGGCGGUAGUACGUCCCAAGGGUUGGGCUGUUCGCCCAUGAAAGCGGUACGCGAGCUGGGUUCAGAACGUCGUGAGACAGUUCGGUCCAUAUCCGGUGUAGGCGUUAGAAUAUUGAGAGGAGCCUUCUUUAGUACGAGAGGACCGAGAAGGACAUACCUCUGGUGUACCAGUUAUCGUGCCAACGGUAAACGCUGGGUAGCUAUGUAUGGAGUGGAUAACCGCUGAAAGCAUCUAAGUGGGAAGCCCACCUCAAGAUAAGUAUUCUCA
This 1242-nucleotide ribosomal RNA is filed under the name metagenome. RNAcentral describes it as "bacterial LSU rRNA". It matches the Rfam family "Bacterial large subunit ribosomal RNA", at positions 1564 to 2816 of the family's 2925-position model. The record is from RNAcentral.